RNAcentral lists this transfer RNA (72 nucleotides) under Pyricularia oryzae 70-15. RNAcentral's name for it is "tRNA-Glu (CTC) (tRNA-Glu-CTC-1 1 to 8)". It matches the Rfam family "tRNA". Rfam says of the family: Transfer RNA (tRNA) molecules are approximately 80 nucleotides in length. Their secondary structure includes four short double-helical elements and three loops (D, anti-codon, and T loops). The record is from RNAcentral. RNAcentral also lists the same sequence under 4 other names. Lineage: Eukaryota; Fungi; Ascomycota; Sordariomycetes; Magnaporthales; Pyriculariaceae.
UCGGAUAUGGUGUAGUGGCUAACAUACGACGCUCUCACCGUCGUGCCCGGGGUUCGAUUCCCCGUAUCCGAG